Molecule: ribosomal RNA, 253 nt
Filed under: uncultured bacterium
Lineage: Bacteria
Description: partial 16S ribosomal RNA
Rfam family: Bacterial small subunit ribosomal RNA
Source: RNAcentral
UACGGGGGGGGCAAGCGUUGUUCGGAAUUACUGGGCGUAAAGGGCUUGUAGGCGGCCAACUAAGUCGGAUGUGAAAUCCCCAGGCUUAACCUGGGAACUGCAUCCGAUACUGGUCGGCUUGAAUCCGGGAGAGGGAUGCAGAAUUCCAGGUGUAGCGGUGAAAUGCGUAGAUAUCUGGAGGAAUACCGGUGGCGAAGGCGGCAUCCUGGACCGGCAUUGACGCUGAACAGCGAAAGCUAGGGGAGCAAACGGG